This 204-nucleotide small nucleolar RNA is filed under the name Choloepus hoffmanni (Hoffmann's two-fingered sloth). RNAcentral describes it as "Small nucleolar RNA U3 (ENSCHOG00000014033.1)". It matches the Rfam family "Small nucleolar RNA U3". From Rfam's summary of the family: Small nucleolar RNAs (snoRNAs) are involved in the processing and modification of rRNA in the nucleolus. There are two main classes of snoRNAs: the box C/D class, and the box H/ACA class. U3 snoRNA is a member of the box C/D class. The record is from RNAcentral. Lineage: Eukaryota; Metazoa; Chordata; Mammalia; Pilosa; Megalonychidae.
AAGACUAUACUUUCAAGGAUCAUUUCUAUAGUUUGUUACUAGAGGAGGUUCUCUGGUGUAGGGCACUGGAAGCCACGAGGAGGAGUGUUUUCUCCUGAGCGUGAAUUUGGCACUUGAUGUUGUUUUGCUACAAUGACCAUUAGCAAUUGAUGAUUGUUCUCUUUCUUUUGGGAAAGUAAGAGGGAUAGAAUGCUGUCUGAGUGG